GACGAACGCUGGCGGCGUGCUUAACACAUGCAAGUCGAACGGAAAGGCCCUGCUUUUGUGGGGUGCUCGAGUGGGAAAGGGGUGAGUAACAUGUGAGUACCCUCCCUUUGAUUUUGGGAUACCUCCGGGAAACUGGGGCUAAUACCGGAUGGGACCUCCUGCUGCUUGGUGGGGGUUGGAAAUUUUCGGCGGUUGGGGUUGGACUCGCGGCUUAUCUGUUUGUUGGUGGGGUAGUGGCUUACCAGGGUGUUGACGGGUGGCCGGCCUGGGAGGGUGACCGGCCACAUUGGGACUGGGAUACGGCCCAGACUCCUACGGGAGGCAGCAGUGGGGAUAAUUGCACAAUGGGCGGAGGCCUGAUGCAGCAACGCGGCGGGCGGGAUGACGGCCUUCGGUUUGUAAACCGCUUUCGCCUGUGACGAAGCGUGAGUGACGGUAAUGGGUAAAGAAGCACCGGCUAACUACGUG
This 468-nucleotide ribosomal RNA is filed under the name uncultured bacterium. RNAcentral describes it as "partial 16S ribosomal RNA". It matches the Rfam family "Bacterial small subunit ribosomal RNA", at positions 28 to 507 of the family's 1533-position model. The record is from RNAcentral.